This 253-nucleotide ribosomal RNA is filed under the name uncultured bacterium. Its description in RNAcentral is "partial 16S ribosomal RNA". It matches the Rfam family "Bacterial small subunit ribosomal RNA", at positions 524 to 776 of the family's 1533-position model. The record is from RNAcentral.
UACGAAGGGGGCUAGCGUUGCUCGGAAUCACUGGGCGUAAAGCGCACGUAGGCGGACUCUUAAGUCGGUGGUGAAAUCCUGGAGCUCAACUCCAGAACUGCCUUUGAUACUGAUGAGCUUGAGUUCGGGAGAGGUGAGUGGAACUGCGAGUGUAGAGGUGAAAUUCGUAGAUAUUCGCAAGAACACCAGUGGCGAAGGCGGCUCACUGGCCCGAUACUGACGCUGAGGUGCGAAAGCGUGGGGAGCAAACAGG